This 634-nucleotide ribosomal RNA is filed under the name uncultured bacterium. RNAcentral describes it as "bacterial SSU rRNA". The stretch from base 1 to 523 matches the Rfam family "Bacterial small subunit ribosomal RNA", at positions 338 to 873 of the family's 1533-position model. The record is from RNAcentral.
CCUACGGGAGGCAGCAGUGGGGAAUCUUGCACAAUGGAGGAAACUCUGAUGCAGCGAUGCCGCGUGAGUGAAGAAGGCCUUUGGGUUGUAAAGCUCUUUUGUAGGGGAAGAUAAUGACUGUACCCUAAGAAUAAGGUCCGGCUAACUUCGUGCCAGCAGCCGCGGUAAUACGAAGGGACCUAGCGUAGUUCGGAAUUACUGGGCGUAAAGCGCGCGUAGGCCGUUGAGUUAGUUAAUUGUGAAAUCCCAAAGCUUAACUUUGGAACUGCAAUUAAAACUGCUCGACUAGAGUUUGAUAGAGGAAAGCGGAAUACAUAGUGUAGAGGUGAAAUUCGUAGAUAUUAUGUAGAACACCAGUUGCGAAGGCGGCUUUCUGGAUCAACACUGACGCUGAGGCGCGAAAGUAUGGGUAGCAAAGAGGAUUAGAUACCCUCGUAGUCCAUACCAUAAACGAUGAUUGCUAGAUGUUGGAAAAUUUAUUUUUACUAGUAUCGCAGCUAACGACAUUAAGUACAACUCCGUCCGUCGGGGUAGGGUACGGACCGGACCGAACGGUUAAAACCGUUAACCAAACUAGUAAUUAGUACGGCGUGAGACGUCGCCCGAACGGACGACCGACCGAGGGGAGGUAGGG